This 81-nucleotide transfer RNA is filed under the name Babesia gibsoni. RNAcentral describes it as "tRNA-Ser". It matches the Rfam family "tRNA". From Rfam's summary of the family: Transfer RNA (tRNA) molecules are approximately 80 nucleotides in length. Lineage: Eukaryota; Apicomplexa; Aconoidasida; Piroplasmida; Babesiidae. The record is from RNAcentral.
GGCAGCUUGGCCGAGUGGUUAAGGCGACAGACUAGAAAUCUGUUGGGUUCUCCCGCGCAGGUUCAAAUCCUGCAGCUGUCG